GGGGAAUAUUGCACAAUGGGCGCAAGCCUGAUGCAGCGACGCCGCGUGAGGGAUGACGGCCUUCGGGUUGUAAACCUCUUUCAGUAGGGAAGAAGCGAAAGUGACGGUACCUGCAGAAGAAGCACCGGCUAACUACGUGCCAGCAGCCGCGGUAAUACGUAGGGUGCGAGCGUUAUCCGGAAUUAUUGGGCGUAAAGAGCUCGUAGGCGGUUUGUCGCGUCUGUCGUGAAAGUCCGGGGCUUAACCCCGGAUCUGCGGUGGGUACGGGCAGACUAGAGUGCAGUAGGGGAGACUGGAAUUCCUGGUGUAGCGGUGGAAUGCGCAGAUAUCAGGAGGAACACCGAUGGCGAAGGCAGGUCUCUGGGCUGUAACUGACGCUGAGGAGCGAAAGCAUGGGGAGCGAACAGGAUUAGAUACCCUGGUAGUCCAUGCCGUAAACGUUGGGCACUAGGUGUGGGGACCAUUCCACGGUUUCCGCGCCGCAGCUAACGCAUUAAGUGCCCCGCCUGGGGAGUACGGCCGCAAGGCUA
This 530-nucleotide ribosomal RNA is filed under the name uncultured bacterium. Its description in RNAcentral is "bacterial SSU rRNA". It matches the Rfam family "Bacterial small subunit ribosomal RNA", at positions 356 to 896 of the family's 1533-position model. The record is from RNAcentral.